RNAcentral lists this long non-coding RNA (224 nucleotides) under Mytilus galloprovincialis (Mediterranean mussel). The record is from RNAcentral. Lineage: Eukaryota; Metazoa; Mollusca; Bivalvia; Mytilida; Mytilidae.
UAAAAGAUUUGUCGCUAGGAGAUCUACACCAAGGAUUAUGUUGUCCGAUAAUGCAACAACCUUCAAGGCAGCCGCCGAAAAGAUUACAAGAUCAAGCCAAGACAACCGAAUACAAGAAAAACUUGCCGAUCAAGGAACUGAGUGGAAAUUCAUACCCAACCGAGCACCGUGGUUUGGAGGCUUUUGGGAACGCCUAAUUGGACUCACGAAAAAGUCAAUUAAAG